CCUACGGGAGGCAGCAGUGAGGAAUAUUGGUCAAUGGCCGGAAGGCUGAACCAGCCAUGCCGCGUGAAGGUCAGUGCCCUAUGGGCGUUAAACUUCUUUUGUGCGGGAGCAAUAAUGGUCACGUGUGGCCAGACGAGAGUACCGUACGAAUAAGCAUCGGCUAACUUCGUGCCAGCAGCCGCGGUAAUACGGGGGAUGCAAGCGUUAUCCGGAUUUUUUGGGUUUAAAGUGUGCGUAGGCUGUGAGGUAAGUCAGCGGUUAAAUGCUCCCACUCAACGGGGUGAAGUGCCAUUGAUACUGCCGUGCUAGAAUGCGGAUGCCGUGGGAGGAAUGUGUGGGGUAGCGGGGAAAUGCAUAGAUAUCACACAGAACACCGAUUGCGAAGGCAUCUCACGAAUCCGCGAUUGACGCUGAUGCACGAAAGCGUGGGUAUCAAACAGGAUUAGAUACCCUAGUAGUC
RNAcentral lists this ribosomal RNA (460 nucleotides) under uncultured bacterium. Its description in RNAcentral is "partial 16S ribosomal RNA". It matches the Rfam family "Bacterial small subunit ribosomal RNA", at positions 338 to 795 of the family's 1533-position model. The record is from RNAcentral.